UUACGGCCACAUCACAUUGAAACACUGAUUCCUGUACGAUCAGCGAAGUUAAGCAACGUCAAGUCUGGUACUGACCUAGAUGGGUGACCGCUUGGGAAUACCAGGUGCUGUAAG
This is a non-coding RNA of Acanthosepion pharaonis, 114 nucleotides long. The record is from the annotation of a GenBank genome assembly. Lineage: Eukaryota; Metazoa; Mollusca; Cephalopoda; Sepiida; Sepiidae.